UGGAGAGUUUGAUCCUGGCUCAGGACGAACGCUGGCGGCGUGCCUAAUACAUGCAAGUAGAACGCUGAAGAGAGGAGCUUGCUCUUCUUGGAUGAGUUGCGAACGGGUGAGUAACGCGUAGGUAACCUGCCUGGUAGCGGGGGAUAACUAUUGGAAACGAUAGCUAAUACCGCAUAAAAUGGAUUAUYGCAUGAUAAUCNAUUGAAAGGUGCAAAUGCAYCACUACCAGAUGGACCUGCGUUGUAUUAGCUAGUUGGUGGGGUAACGGCUCACCAAGGCGACGAUACAUAGCCGACCUGAGAGGGUGAUCGGCCACACUGGGACUGAGACACGGCCCAGACUCCUACGGGAGGCAGCAGUAGGGAAUCUUCGGCAAUGGACGGAAGUCUGACCGAGCAACGCCGCGUGAGUGAAGAAGGUUUUCGGAUCGUAAAGCUCUGUUGUAAGAGAAGAACGAGUGUGAGAGUGGAAAGUUCACACUGUGACGGUAUCUUACCAGAAAGGGACGGCUAACUACGUGCCAGCAGCCGCGGUA
This 535-nucleotide ribosomal RNA is filed under the name Streptococcus mitis. RNAcentral describes it as "bacterial SSU rRNA". It matches the Rfam family "Bacterial small subunit ribosomal RNA", at positions 1 to 522 of the family's 1533-position model. Lineage: Bacteria; Bacillati; Bacillota; Bacilli; Lactobacillales; Streptococcaceae. The record is from RNAcentral.